RNAcentral lists this ribosomal RNA (676 nucleotides) under Pseudomonas sp. HPC 1210. Its description in RNAcentral is "bacterial SSU rRNA". It matches the Rfam family "Bacterial small subunit ribosomal RNA", at positions 44 to 732 of the family's 1533-position model. Lineage: Bacteria; Pseudomonadati; Pseudomonadota; Gammaproteobacteria; Pseudomonadales; Pseudomonadaceae. The record is from RNAcentral.
AGAUGCCUAAUUUUGCAGUCUAGCCAAGGUGGCCGUAUUGCUCCUGGAUUCGGCGGCCGACGGGUGAGUAAUGCCUCGGAAUCUGCCUGGUAAUGGGGGAUAACGUUCCGAAAGGAACGCUCAUACCGCGUACGUCCUACUGGAGAAAGCGGGGGACCUUCGGGCCUUGCGCUAUCGAAUGAGCCUAGGUCGGAUUACCUGGUUGGUGAGGUAAUGGCUCACCAAGGCGACGAUCCGUAACUGGUCUGAGAGGAUGAUCAGUCACACUGGAACUGAGACACGGUCCAAACUCCUACGGGAGACACCAGUGGGGAAUAUUGGACAAUGGGCGAAAGCCUGAUCCCGCCAUGCCACGUGUGUGAAAAAGGUCUUCGGAUUGUAAAGCACUUUAGGUUGGGAGGAAGAGCUGUAGGCUAAUAUCCUGCAAUUUUGACGUUACCAAAAGAAUAAGCACCGGCUAACUUCUUGCCGACAGCCGCGGCAAUACAAAGGGUGAAGCGUUAAUAAGAAUUACUGGGCAUAAAUCCCCCGUAAGUGGUCCGUUAAAUUGGAUAAAGCCCCUGGUUCAACCCGGGGAACUGCUCCAAACUGCGAGGUAGGGUCUUGGAGGGGGGAAUUUCCGGGGAGCGAGAAAUGCCUCCACCUGGAAGGACACGGGAAUCGACUACUUCGCUGU